GUUGCAGGACCAGAGCUCGUCUCUUCUGCAUUGGACAGGGUGCAUCACAGACUAUACCCAUAUGUUCAUUCACACUGUGCCAAUUUAAAAUCAUCAAUCACAAACCACAAGAGGAAAUGAGAGGUCUCAGUGAAAACUCACACCAACACAGGAACAUGCACACUUAAGACAUCCUACACAGGGAUCAACCUGGAAGUCCACUCUUCAUAUUAGUAUUUGAAAGGAGCGACUUUGGGAUGGGUGAAUCAAGAAGCUGAAGAUCUGGAAGAAUCUGGUCAUUCUCACUGUUGUAAAAGGGAUCUUGUGAAGUUAGACCUAACUUAUGGAGGAACUCCUCUGUCAUUAAAUAUUAUGCCAGACCCAUAUUUCUUCAGAGUAAUCUUGUUAUGGGAUAAGAGGUUAGUUCAUUAUUCAUCCAUCCAUUAUGUACUGCUUAUUCUGUUUUGGAUC
Molecule: long non-coding RNA, 450 nt
Organism: Erpetoichthys calabaricus (reedfish)
Lineage: Eukaryota; Metazoa; Chordata; Cladistia; Polypteriformes; Polypteridae
Exons: 3
Source: RefSeq, a predicted model, not a curated record